AAGUUUGUAUCCUCGGCGUCAGGAGUGAACGCUGGCGGCGGUGCUUAACACAUGCAAGUCGAGCGAAGCACUUUCUUCGGAAGUUUUCGGACGGAAGAGGAUUUGACUGAGCGGCGGACGGGUGAGUAACGCGUGGGGAACCUGCCUCAUACAGGGGAAUAACAGAUGGAAACGUCUGCUAAUGCCGCAUAAGCGCACACUGUGGCAUCACAGAGUGUGAAAAACUCCGGUGGUAUGAGAUGGCCCCGCGUCUGAUUAGGCAGUUGGCGGGGUAACGGCCCACCAAACCGACGAUCAGUAGCCGACCUGAGAGGGUGACCGGCCACAUUGGGACUGAGACACGGCCCAAACUCCUACGGGAGGCAGCAGUGGGGAAUAUUGCACAAUGGGGGGAAACCCUGAUGCAGCGACGCCGCGUGGGUGACGAAGUAUUUCGGUAUGUAAAGCCCUAUCAGCAGGGAAGAAGAUGACAGUACCUGACUAAGAAGCCCCGGCUAACUACGUG
RNAcentral lists this ribosomal RNA (505 nucleotides) under uncultured Lachnospiraceae bacterium. RNAcentral's name for it is "bacterial SSU rRNA". It matches the Rfam family "Bacterial small subunit ribosomal RNA", at positions 27 to 507 of the family's 1533-position model. Lineage: Bacteria; Bacillati; Bacillota; Clostridia; Lachnospirales; Lachnospiraceae. The record is from RNAcentral.